GCGUGAGUCAUGUAUAUAGUUUAGGAAUGUAAAUUAAAUUGUUAUUACUUUCCUAGUCUAGAUGUGUAGUACAUGUGUAGUACAUGUGUAGUAUAUGUAGGGUUAGAGUUUGUACGUAUUGUAUCUUUAUAUAUAGCCUCCACUGUGAGAUGAAUAAGAUAUCAGAAAAUUUAUUCUCUAAAACCUCCUUAUAUCUGACUUGGUAUCAGAGCAAAGAUCCAAAAGGACUUUGUCUCUUUGUUUUUCCGCUGCACUUUUUCGUUGAAGUUUUCCCAACGAUUCUAUUCUAUUCUCCGAUCGAAGUUUUUCCGAUCGUUGUUUCUCGCUCCCGGGUUACUGUUCACGGAGUUGGUUUGUUUCCAGCCGUGCCCAAACCGAAAUCCAGCCGUGCCCAGCCCAGAAAUCACCGUCGUGCCCAGAAGAUGCCGCCGUGCUCAAGAUCGAUAGGAUCUUCUCACUGGGGAGUUACUAGGUCGGGGGUACUUGAGGGGCAGGCUGUUUCGUCUAGACCAGACAUACGCAGGGGAGAAACCAGGAGCACAGCCACGAACCGCUUUAAUGUCAACUUCUGACAGGCUAAGUGAAGUUUGGUUAUGGCACCGACGCUUAGGGCAUCCAUCUUUUAGUGUUAUGAAAAAAUCCAUGCCUUCUUUGUUUAUUGGUGUGGAUGAGUCAGUCUUACAUUGUGAAACAUGUGUUUUUGGCAAGAGUCAUCGCUCAACCUAUCUGCCUAGUAUUUCAAAUAAAAGUGUCGUUCCUUUUGAAUUAA
Molecule: long non-coding RNA, 769 nt
Organism: Argentina anserina (silverweed cinquefoil)
Lineage: Eukaryota; Viridiplantae; Streptophyta; Magnoliopsida; Rosales; Rosaceae
Exons: 2
Source: RefSeq, a predicted model, not a curated record